ACUGACGCUCAUGCACGAAAGCGCGGGUAUCGAACAGGAUUAGAUACCCUGGUAGUCCGCGCGGUAAACGAUGAUCACUCGCUGUACGGGUUAUGACCCGUGUGGCCAAGCGAAAGCGAUAAGUGAUCCACCUGGGGAGUACGGCGGCAACGCUGAAACUCAAAGGAAUUGACGGGGGCCCGCACAAGCGGAGGAACAUGUGGUUUAAUUCGAUGAUACGCGAGGAACCUUACCCGGGCUCAAACGCGCGGUGAAGCCGAUGAAAGUUGGUGGCCCAGCAAUGGGAGCCGCGCGAGGUGCUGCAUGGUUGUCGUCAGCUCGUGCCGUGAGGUGUUGGCUUAAGUGCCAUAACGAGCGCAACCCCUGUCCACAGUUGCCAGCGGUUCAAGCCGGGGACUCUGUGGAGACUGCCGCCGCAAGGUGCGAGGAAGGCGGGGAUGACGUCAAAUCAGCACGGCCCUUACGUCCGGGGCGACACACGUGUUACAAUGGCCGGUACAGCGGGCAGCCACCCUGCGAAGGGGCGCGAAUCCCGAAAGCCGGUCUUAGUUCGGACUGGAGUCUGGAACCCGACUCCACGAAGCCGGAUUCGCUAGUAAU
Molecule: ribosomal RNA, 600 nt
Filed under: uncultured bacterium
Lineage: Bacteria
Description: bacterial SSU rRNA
Rfam family: Bacterial small subunit ribosomal RNA
Source: RNAcentral